GGGAGGCUGCAGUGGGGAAUUUUGGACAAUGGGGGGAAACCCUGAUCCAGCAAACGCCGCGUGAGUGAAGAAGGCCUUCGGGUUGUAAAGCUCUUUUGUUAGGGAAGAAAAGUCGAGCGCUAAUACCGCUCGAUGCUGACGGUACCUAAAGAAUAAGCACCGGCUAACUACGUGCCAGCAGCCGCGGUAAUACGUAGGGUGCAAGCGUUAAUCGGAAUUAUUGGGCGUAAAGGGUGCGUAGGCGGAUACGUAAGCUUAAUGUGAAAUCCCUGGGCUUAACCCAGGAAUGGCAUUAAGAACUGCGUGUCUAGAGUUCGGUAGAGGGGGGUAGAAUUCCAUGUGUAGCGGUGAAAUGCGUAGAUAU
Molecule: ribosomal RNA, 364 nt
Filed under: uncultured beta proteobacterium
Lineage: Bacteria; Pseudomonadati; Pseudomonadota; Betaproteobacteria
Description: bacterial SSU rRNA
Rfam family: Bacterial small subunit ribosomal RNA
Source: RNAcentral